RNAcentral lists this ribosomal RNA (513 nucleotides) under uncultured bacterium. RNAcentral's name for it is "partial 16S ribosomal RNA". It matches the Rfam family "Bacterial small subunit ribosomal RNA", at positions 28 to 523 of the family's 1533-position model. The record is from RNAcentral.
GAUGAACGCUGGCGGCGUGCCUAAUACAUGCAAGUCGAACGCGCAGCGAAAGGUGCUUGCACCUUUCAAGCGAGUGGCGAACGGGUGAGUAACACGUGGAUAACCUGCCUCAAGGCUGGGGAUAACAUUUGGAAACAGAUGCUAAUACCGAAUAAAACUUAGUAUCGCAUGAUACAAAGUUGAAAGGCGCUACGGCGUCACCUAGAGAUGGGUCCGCGGUGCAUUAGUUAGUUGGUGGGGUAAAGGCCUACCAAGACAAUGAUGGAUAGCCGAGUUGAGAGACGGAUCGGCCACAUUGGGACUGAGACACGGCCCAAACUCCUACGGGAGGCUGCAGUAGGGAAUCUUCCACAAUGGGCGAAGGCCUGAUGGAGCGACGCCGCGUGUGUGAUGAAGGCUUUAGGGUCGUAAAGCACUGUUGUAUGGGAAGAAAUGCUAGAAUAGGGAAUGAUUCUAGUUCGACGGUACCAUACCAGAAAGGGACGGCUAAAUACGUGCCAGCAGCCGCCGUAA